This 2416-nucleotide ribosomal RNA is filed under the name Klebsiella aerogenes. RNAcentral describes it as "bacterial LSU rRNA". It matches the Rfam family "Bacterial large subunit ribosomal RNA", at positions 1 to 2508 of the family's 2925-position model. Lineage: Bacteria; Pseudomonadati; Pseudomonadota; Gammaproteobacteria; Enterobacterales; Enterobacteriaceae. The record is from RNAcentral.
UUAAGCGACUAAGCGUACACGGUGGAUGCCCUGGCAGUCAGAGGCGAUGAAGGACGUGCUAAUCUGCGAAAAGCGUCGGUAAGGUGAUAUGAACCGUUACAGCCGGCGAUGUCCGAAUGGGGAAACCCAGUGCAAUUCGUUGCACUAUCGUUAACUGAAUACAUAGGUUAACGAGGCGAACCGGGGGAACUGAAACAUCUAAGUACCCCGAGGAAAAGAAAUCAACCGAGAUUCCCCCAGUAGCGGCGAGCGAACGGGGAGCAGCCCAGAGUCUGAAUCAGCUUGUGUGUUAGUGGAACGGUCUGGAAAGUCCGACGGUACAGGGUGAUAGUCCCGUACACCAAAAUGCACAGGUUGUGAACUCGAAGAGUAGGGCGGGACACGUGGUAUCCUGUCUGAAUAUGGGGGGACCAUCCUCCAAGGCUAAAUACUCCUGACUGACCGAUAGUGAACCAGUACCGGAGGGAAAGGCGAAAAGAACCCCGGCGAGGGGAGUGAAAAAGACCCUGAACCCGUGUACGUACAAGCAGUGGGAGCCCUUUCGGGUGUGACUGCGUACCUUUUGUAUAAUGGGUCAGCGACUUAUAUUCUGUAGCAAGGUUAACCGUAUAGGGGAGCCGCAGGGAAACCGAGUCUUAACUGGGCGUUAAGUUGCAGGGUAUAGACCCGAAACCCGGUGAUCUAGCCAUGGGCAGGUUGAAGGUUGGGUAACACUAACUGGAGGACCGAACCGACUAAUGUUGAAAAAUUAGCGGAUGACUUGUGGCUGGGGGUGAAAGGCCAAUCAAACCGGGAGAUAGCUGGUUCUCCCCGAAAGCUAUUUAGGUAGCGCCUCGUGAAUUCAUCUUCGGGGGUAGAGCACUGUUUCGGCUAGGGGGUCAUCCCGACUUACCAACCCGAUGCAAACUACGAAUACCGAAGAAUGUUAUCACGGGAGACACACGGCGGGUGCUAACGUCCGUCGUGAAGAGGGAAACAACCCAGACCGCCAGCUAAGGUCCCAAAGUCACAGUUAAGUGGGAAACGAUGUGGGAAGGCACAGACAGCCAGGAUGUUGGCUUAGAAGCAGCCAUCAUUUAAAGAAAGCGUAAUAGCUCACUGGUCGAGUCGGCCUGCGCGGAAGAUGUAACGGGGCUAAACUGUGCACCGAAGCUGCGGCAGCGACACUAUGUGUUGUUGGGUAGGGGAGCGUUCUGUAAGCCUGCGAAGGUGGCCUGUGAGGGUUGCUGGAGGUAUCAGAAGUGCGAAUGCUGACAUAAGUAACGAUAAUGCGGGUGAAAAGCCCGCACGCCGGAAGACCAAGGGUUCCUGGGAAACAGGUUAAUAUUCCUGUACUUGGUGUUACUGCGAAGGGGGGACGGAGAAGGCUAUGUUAGCCGGGCGACGGUUGUCCCGGUUUAAGCAUGUAGGCGGAGGUUCCAGGUAAAUCCGGUACCUUUUAACGCUUAAGUGUGAUGACGAGGCACUACGGUGCUGAAGUAACAAAUGCCCUGCUUCCAGGAAAAGCCUCUAAGCAUCAGGUAACAUUGAAUCGUACCCCAAACCGACACAGGUGGUCAGGUAGAGAAUACCAAGGCGCUUGAGAGAACUCGGGUGAAGGAACUAGGCAAAAUGGUGCCGUAACUUCGGGAGAAGGCACGCUGAUAUGUAGGUGAAGCCCCUGCGGGUGGAGCUGAAAUCAGUCGAAGAUACCAGCUGGCUGCAACUGUUUAUUAAAAACACAGCACUGUGCAAACACGAAAGUGGACGUAUACGGUGUGACGCCUGCCCGGUGCCGGAAGGUUAAUUGAUGGGGUUAUCCGUAAGGAGAAGCUCUUGAUCGAAGCCCCGGUAAACGGCGGCCGUAACUAUAACGGUCCUAAGGUAGCGAAAUUCCUUGUCGGGUAAGUUCCGACCUGCACGAAUGGCGUAAUGAUGGCCAGGCUGUCUCCACCCGAGACUCAGUGAAAUUGAACUCGCUGUGAAGAUGCAGUGUACCCGCGGCAAGACGGAAAGACCCCGUGAACCUUUACUAUAGCUUGACACUGAACAUUGAGCCUUGAUGUGUAGGAUAGGUGGGAGGCUUUGAAGCGUGGACGCCAGUCUGCGGGAGGUUGCCUUGGGAAACCACGCCUUUAAUGUUUGAUGUUCUAACGUUGGCCCCUAAUCGGGGUUGCGGACAGUGUCUGGUGGGUAGUUUGACUGGGGCGGUCUCCUCCCAAAGAGUAACGGAGGAGCACGAAGGUUAGCUAAUCCUGGUCGGACAUCAGGAGGUUAGUGCAAUGGCAUAAGCUAGCUUGACUGCGAGCGUGACGGCGCGAGCAGGUGCGAAAGCAGGUCAUAGUGAUCCGGUGGUUCUGAAUGGAAGGGCCAUCGCUCAACGGAUAAAAGGUACUCCGGGGAUAACAGGCUGAUACCGCCCAAGAGUUCAUAUCGA